AGUGAACGCUGGCGGUAGGCCUAACACAUGCAAGUCGAACGGCAGCACAGUAAGAGCUUGCUCUUACGGGUGGCGAGUGGCGGACGGGUGAGGAAUACAUCGGAAUCUACUUUUUCGUGGGGGAUAACGUAGGGAAACUUACGCUAAUACCGCAUACGACCUACGGGUGAAAGCAGGGGAUCUUCGGACCUUGCGCGAUUGAAUGAGCCGAUGUCGGAUUAGCUAGUUGGCGGGGUAAAGGCCCACCAAGGCGACGAUCCGUAGCUGGUCUGAGAGGAUGAUCAGCCACACUGGAACUGAGACACGGUCCAGACUCCUACGGGAGGCAGCAGUGGGGAAUAUUGGACAAUGGGCGCAAGCCUGAUCCAGCCAUACCGCGUGAGUGAAGAAGGCCUUCGGGUUGUAAGCCCUUUUGUUGGGAAAGAAAAGCAGCAGGUUAAUACCCCGCUGUUCUGACGGUACCCAAAGAAUAAGCACCGGCUAACUUCGUG
Molecule: ribosomal RNA, 491 nt
Filed under: uncultured bacterium
Lineage: Bacteria
Description: partial 16S ribosomal RNA
Rfam family: Bacterial small subunit ribosomal RNA
Source: RNAcentral